AGUCGAGCGAAUGGAUUAAGAGCUUGCUCUUAUGAAGUUAGCGGCGGACGGGUGAGUAACACGUGGGUAACCUGCCCAUAAGACUGGGAUAACUCCGGGAAACCGGGGCUAAUACCGGAUAACAUUUUGAACCGCAUGGUUCGAAAUUGAAAGGCGGCUUCGGCUGUCACUUAUGGAUGGACCCGCGUCGCAUUAGCUAGUUGGUGAGGUAACGGCUCACCAAGGCAACGAUGCGUAGCCGACCUGAGAGGGUGAUCGGCCACACUGGGACUGAGACACGGCCCAGACUCCUACGGGAGGCAGCAGUAGGGAAUCUUCCGCAAUGGACGAAAGUCUGACGGAGCAACGCCGCGUGAGUGAUGAAGGCUUUCGGGUCGUAAAACUCUGUUGUUAGGGAAGAACAAGUGCUAGUUGAAUAAGCUGGCACCUUGACGGUACCUAACCAGAAAGCCACGGUAAUACGUGCCAGCAGCCGCGGUAAUACGUAGGUGGCAAGCGUUAUCCGGAAUUAUUGGGCGUAAAGCGCGCGCAGGUGGUUUCUUAAGUUGAUGUGAAAGCCCACGGCUCAACCGUGGAGGGUCAUUGGAAACUGGGAGACUUGAGUGCAGAAGAGGAAAGUGGAAUUCCAUGUGUAGCGGUGAAAUGCGUAGAGAUAUGGAGGAACACCAGUGGCGAAGGCGACUUUCUGGUCUGUAACUGACACUGAGGCGCGAAAGCGUGGGGAGCAAACAGGAUUAAUACCUGGUAUCCACGCCGUAAACGAUGAGUGCUAAUGUUAGAGGGUUUCCCCCUUUAGUGCUGAAGUUAACGCAUUACACUCCCCGCGGAGUACGAGCCGGCAGGUUGAAACUCAAAGAAAUUGAACGGGCCCCGCCAGCGUGUAGCAAAUUGUUUAUUCGAAUGCACGCCGAGAAUUUACAGGCUGGUGGCACUACUCUACAACCCGACAUAUAGGUUCUCCUUCGGGAGCAGAGUGACAGGUGGUGCAUGGUUGUCGUCAGCUCGUGUCGUGAGAUGUUGGGUUAAGUCCCGCAACGAGCGCAACCCUUGAUCUUAGUUGCCAUCAUUUAGUUGGGCACUCUAAGGUGACUGCCGGUGACAAACCGGAGGAAGGUGGGGAUGACGUCAAAUCAUCAUGCCCCUUAUGACCUGGGCUACACACGUGCUACAAUGGACGGUACAAAGAGCUGCAAGACCGCGAGGUGGAGCUAAUCUCAUAAAACCGUUCUCAGUUCGGAUUGUAGGCUGCAACUCGCCUACAUGAAGCUGGAAUCGCUAGUAAUCGCGGAUCAGCAUGCCGCGGUGAAUACGUUCCCGGGCCUUGUACACACCGCCCGUCACACCACGAGAGUUUGUAACACCCGAAGUCGGUGGGGUAACCUUUUUGGAGC
RNAcentral lists this ribosomal RNA (1391 nucleotides) under Bacillus thuringiensis. RNAcentral describes it as "bacterial SSU rRNA". It matches the Rfam family "Bacterial small subunit ribosomal RNA". The record is from RNAcentral. Lineage: Bacteria; Bacillati; Bacillota; Bacilli; Caryophanales; Bacillaceae.